This 784-nucleotide ribosomal RNA is filed under the name Staphylococcus sp. X38-CRBM-E14. RNAcentral's name for it is "bacterial SSU rRNA". It matches the Rfam family "Bacterial small subunit ribosomal RNA", at positions 56 to 822 of the family's 1533-position model. The record is from RNAcentral. Lineage: Bacteria; Bacillati; Bacillota; Bacilli; Caryophanales; Staphylococcaceae.
UGCAAGUCGAGCGAACGGAUAAGGAGCUUGCUCCUUUGAAGUUAGCGGCGGACGGGUGAGUAACACGUGGGUAACCUACCUAUAAGACUGGGAUAACUUCGGGAAACCGGAGCUAAUACCGGAUAACAUUUAGAACCGCAUGGUUCUAAAGUGAAAGAUGGUUUUGCUAUCACUUAUAGAUGGACCCGCGCCGUAUUAGCUAGUUGGUAAGGUAACGGCUUACCAAGGCGACGAUACGUAGCCGACCUGAGAGGGUGAUCGGCCACACUGGAACUGAGACACGGUCCAGACUCCUACGGGAGGCAGCAGUAGGGAAUCUUCCGCAAUGGGCGAAAGCCUGACGGAGCAACGCCGCGUGAGUGAUGAAGGGUUUCGGCUCGUAAAACUCUGUUAUUAGGGAAGAACAAAUGUGUAAGUAACUGUGCACAUCUUGACGGUACCUAAUCAGAAAGCCACGGCUAACUACGUGCCAGCAGCCGCGGUAAUACGUAGGUGGCAAGCGUUAUCCGGAAUUAUUGGGCGUAAAGCGCGCGUAGGCGGUUUCUUAAGUCUGAUGUGAAAGCCCACGGCUCAACCGUGGAGGGUCAUUGGAAACUGGGAAACUUGAGUGCAGAAGAGGAAAGUGGAAUUCCAUGUGUAGCGGUGAAAUGCGCAGAGAUAUGGAGGAACACCAGUGGCGAAGGCGACUUUCUGGUCUGUAACUGACGCUGAUGUGCGAAAGCGUGGGGAUCAAACAGGAUUAGAUACCCUGGUAGUCCACGCCGUAAACGAUGAGUGCUAAGUG